This 2931-nucleotide ribosomal RNA is filed under the name Escherichia coli. RNAcentral's name for it is "23S ribosomal RNA". It matches the Rfam family "Bacterial large subunit ribosomal RNA". The record is from RNAcentral. Lineage: Bacteria; Pseudomonadati; Pseudomonadota; Gammaproteobacteria; Enterobacterales; Enterobacteriaceae.
GGGUUGUGAGGUUAAGCGACUAAGCGUACACGGUGGAUGCCCUGGCAGUCAGAGGCGAUGAAGGACGUGCUAAUCUGCGAUAAGCGUCGGUAAGGUGAUAUGAACCGUUAUAACCGGCGAUUUCCGAAUGGGGAAACCCAGUGUGUUUCGACACACUAUCAUUAACUGAAUCCAUAGGUUAAUGAGGCGAACCGGGGGAACUGAAACAUCUAAGUACCCCGAGGAAAAGAAAUCAACCGAGAUUCCCCCAGUAGCGGCGAGCGAACGGGGAGCAGCCCAGAGCCUGAAUCAGUGUGUGUGUUAGUGGAAGCGUCUGGAAAGGCGCGCGAUACAGGGUGACAGCCCCGUACACAAAAAUGCACAUACUGUGAGCUCGAUGAGUAGGGCGGGACACGUGGUAUCCUGUCUGAAUAUGGGGGGACCAUCCUCCAAGGCUAAAUACUCCUGACUGACCGAUAGUGAACCAGUACCGUGAGGGAAAGGCGAAAAGAACCCCGGCGAGGGGAGUGAAAAAGAACCUGAAACCGUGUACGUACAAGCAGUGGGAGCACGCUUAGGCGUGUGACUGCGUACCUUUUGUAUAAUGGGUCAGCGACUUAUAUUCUGUAGCAAGGUUAACCGAAUAGGGGAGCCGAAGGGAAACCGAGUCUUAACUGGGCGUUAAGUUGCAGGGUAUAGACCCGAAACCCGGUGAUCUAGCCAUGGGCAGGUUGAAGGUUGGGUAACACUAACUGGAGGACCGAACCGACUAAUGUUGAAAAAUUAGCGGAUGACUUGUGGCUGGGGGUGAAAGGCCAAUCAAACCGGGAGAUAGCUGGUUCUCCCCGAAAGCUAUUUAGGUAGCGCCUCGUGAAUUCAUCUCCGGGGGUAGAGCACUGUUUCGGCAAGGGGGUCAUCCCGACUUACCAACCCGAUGCAAACUGCGAAUACCGGAGAAUGUUAUCACGGGAGACACACGGCGGGUGCUAACGUCCGUCGUGAAGAGGGAAACAACCCAGACCGCCAGCUAAGGUCCCAAAGUCAUGGUUAAGUGGGAAACGAUGUGGGAAGGCCCAGACAGCCAGGAUGUUGGCUUAGAAGCAGCCAUCAUUUAAAGAAAGCGUAAUAGCUCACUGGUCGAGUCGGCCUGCGCGGAAGAUGUAACGGGGCUAAACCAUGCACCGAAGCUGCGGCAGCGACGCUUAUGCGUUGUUGGGUAGGGGAGCGUUCUGUAAGCCUGUGAAGGUGUGCUGUGAGGCAUGCUGGAGGUAUCAGAAGUGCGAAUGCUGACAUAAGUAACGAUAAAGCGGGUGAAAAGCCCGCUCGCCGGAAGACCAAGGGUUCCUGUCCAACGUUAAUCGGGGCAGGGUGAGUCGACCCCUAAGGCGAGGCCGAAAGGCGUAGUCGAUGGGAAACAGGUUAAUAUUCCUGUACUUGGUGUUACUGCGAAGGGGGGACGGAGAAGGCUAUGUUGGCCGGGCGACGGUUGUCCCGGUUUAAGCGUGUAGGCUGGUUUUCCAGGCAAAUCCGGAAAAUCAAGGCUGAGGCGUGAUGACGAGGCACUACGGUGCUGAAGCAACAAAUGCCCUGCUUCCAGGAAAAGCCUCUAAGCAUCAGGUAACAUCAAAUCGUACCCCAAACCGACACAGGUGGUCAGGUAGAGAAUACCAAGGCGCUUGAGAGAACUCGGGUGAAGGAACUAGGCAAAAUGGUGCCGUAACUUCGGGAGAAGGCACGCUGAUAUGUAGGUGAAGUCCCUCGCGGAUGGAGCUGAAAUCAGUCGAAGAUACCAGCUGGCUGCAACUGUUUAUUAAAAACACAGCACUGUGCAAACACGAAAGUGGACGUAUACGGUGUGACGCCUGCCCGGUGCCGGAAGGUUAAUUGAUGGGGUCAGCGCAAGCGAAGCUCUUGAUCGAAGCCCCGGUAAACGGCGGCCGUAACUAUAACGGUCCUAAGGUAGCGAAAUUCCUUGUCGGGUAAGUUCCGACCUGCACGAAUGGCGUAAUGAUGGCCAGGCUGUCUCCACCCGAGACUCAGUGAAAUUGAACUCGCUGUGAAGAUGCAGUGUACCCGCGGCAAGACGGAAAGACCCCGUGAACCUUUACUAUAGCUUGACACUGAACAUUGAGCCUUGAUGUGUAGGAUAGGUGGGAGGCUUUGAAGUGUGGACGCCAGUCUGCAUGGAGCCGACCUUGAAAUACCACCCUUUAAUGUUUGAUGUUCUAACGUGGACCCGUAAUCCGGGUUGCGGACAGUGUCUGGUGGGUAGUUUGACUGGGGCGGUCUCCUCCUAAAGAGUAACGGAGGAGCACGAAGGUUGGCUAAUCCUGGUCGGACAUCAGGAGGUUAGUGCAAUGGCAUAAGCCAGCUUGACUGCGAGCGUGACGGCGCGAGCAGGUGCGAAAGCAGGUCAUAGUGAUCCGGUGGUUCUGAAUGGAAGGGCCAUCGCUCAACGGAUAAAAGGUACUCCGGGGAUAACAGGCUGAUACCGCCCAAGAGUUCAUAUCGACGGCGGUGUUUGGCACCUCGAUGUCGGCUCAUCACAUCCUGGGGCUGAAGUAGGUCCCAAGGGUAUGGCUGUUCGCCAUUUAAAGUGGUACGCGAGCUGGGUUUAGAACGUCGUGAGACAGUUCGGUCCCUAUCUGCCGUGGGCGCUGGAGAACUGAGGGGGGCUGCUCCUAGUACGAGAGGACCGGAGUGGACGCAUCACUGGUGUUCGGGUUGUCAUGCCAAUGGCACUGCCCGGUAGCUAAAUGCGGAAGAGAUAAGUGCUGAAAGCAUCUAAGCACGAAACUUGCCCCGAGAUGAGUUCUCCCUGACUCCUUGAGAGUCCUGAAGGAACGUUGAAGACGACGACGUUGAUAGGCCGGGUGUGUAAGCGCAGCGAUGCGUUGAGCUAACCGGUACUAAUGAACCGUGAGGCUUAACCUUACAACGCCGAAGGUGUUU